This 103-nucleotide ribosomal RNA is filed under the name uncultured eukaryote. Its description in RNAcentral is "partial small subunit ribosomal RNA". It matches the Rfam family "Eukaryotic small subunit ribosomal RNA", at positions 1678 to 1794 of the family's 1831-position model. The record is from RNAcentral.
GCUCCUACCGAUUGAAUAAAGAGGUGAAAUUCUAAGAGUCAGAUAAGUAGUUAUUUGACAAAUGGAUUUAAAUCUCCUUAUUUAGAGGAAGGAGAAGUCGUAA